GCCGCUAUGGCGCAGUGGUAACGCGUCGCACUUGUACCAUUUGGACAGAACAAAACUGUCUUUCAUGUCGUGAAAUGCGAAGAUCCCUAGUUCAAUUCUGGGUGGCGGCA
Molecule: transfer RNA, 110 nt
Filed under: Pseudogymnoascus destructans 20631-21
Lineage: Eukaryota; Fungi; Ascomycota; Leotiomycetes; Thelebolales; Thelebolaceae
Description: Geomyces destructans 20631-21 tRNA
Rfam family: tRNA
About the family: Transfer RNA (tRNA) molecules are approximately 80 nucleotides in length. Their secondary structure includes four short double-helical elements and three loops (D, anti-codon, and T loops).
Source: Rfam by way of RNAcentral